GAAGAAAAGAAGCUUGUUCAAGGUCACAUAGAGCUGGAAUUUAAAUUCAGAUCUAUUAUAUUCUUAAAAACUGUGGAAGAGUUUUCCAACACUCGACAGGCUGACACAACUCUUCUGCACACUCUGGUGUUUGUGUCUGUCACUCUGCACACUCUGGUGUUUGUGUCUUCUGGUGAUCCUGGAUUAUCAAGCCGUGACAAUGUUGAUGGUUGCAUGUCAGGAGCAGAUAAUAUUGAUGACUAACAGCA
This 248-nucleotide long non-coding RNA is filed under the name Papio anubis (olive baboon). RNAcentral describes it as "lncRNA (ENSPANG00000039262.1)". Lineage: Eukaryota; Metazoa; Chordata; Mammalia; Primates; Cercopithecidae. The record is from RNAcentral.